This 79-nucleotide small nuclear RNA is filed under the name Cavia porcellus (domestic guinea pig). RNAcentral describes it as "U4 spliceosomal RNA". It matches the Rfam family "U4 spliceosomal RNA", at positions 1 to 80 of the family's 138-position model. Rfam says of the family: U4 small nuclear RNA (U4 snRNA) is a component of the major U2-dependent spliceosome. The structure of U4 snRNA from yeast and human has been reported. The record is from Rfam by way of RNAcentral. Lineage: Eukaryota; Metazoa; Chordata; Mammalia; Rodentia; Caviidae.
ACCUUUGCACAGUGACAGUAGCAUAGCCAAUGAGGUUUAUCCAUGGCAUGAUUAUUGCUAAUAGAAAAUUUUCUCAAGA